RNAcentral lists this ribosomal RNA (252 nucleotides) under uncultured bacterium. RNAcentral's name for it is "partial 16S ribosomal RNA". It matches the Rfam family "Bacterial small subunit ribosomal RNA", at positions 524 to 775 of the family's 1533-position model. The record is from RNAcentral.
UACGUAGGGGGCUAGCGUUGUCCGGAAUCAUUGGGCGUAAAGAGCGUGUAGGCGGCUCGGUAAGUCCGCUGUGAAAGUCCAGGGCUCAACCCCUGGAAUGCCAGUGGAAACUGUCGAGCUAGAGUCCGGAAGAGGCGAGUGGAAUUCCUGGUGUAGCGGUGAAAUGCGCAGAUAUCAGGAGGAACACCAUGGCGAAGGCAGCUCGCUGGGACGGUACUGACGCUGAGACGCGAAAGCGUGGGGAGCAACAGG